AAYGACUCUCGGCAACGGAUAUCUCGGCUCUCGCAUSGAUGAAGAACGUAGCGAAAUGCGAUACUYGGUGUGAAUUGCAGAAUCCCGUGAACCAUCGAGUCUUUGAACGCAAGUUGCGCCCGAAGCCAUCAGGUCGAGGGCACGUCUGCCUGGGCGUCACACG
Molecule: ribosomal RNA, 163 nt
Filed under: Ficus carica (common fig)
Lineage: Eukaryota; Viridiplantae; Streptophyta; Magnoliopsida; Rosales; Moraceae
Description: 5.8S ribosomal RNA
Rfam family: 5.8S ribosomal RNA
About the family: 5.8S ribosomal RNA (5.8S rRNA) is a component of the large subunit of the eukaryotic ribosome. It is transcribed by RNA polymerase I as part of the 45S precursor that also contains 18S and 28S rRNA.
Source: RNAcentral